Molecule: non-coding RNA, 2678 nt
Organism: Anguilla rostrata (American eel)
Lineage: Eukaryota; Metazoa; Chordata; Actinopteri; Anguilliformes; Anguillidae
Source: the annotation of a RefSeq genome assembly
AGAUGAUGGUGGUGGUGGUGUGUACUGAAAACACCAGCCUCUACCCCAGAGACUGUGUGCUACUGUGUAUACUACUUUUUAACCAGAGGGAGAUAGUCUACCUGCACGGGCAGCAAGGUACAAAAUCCCCUCCAAGUGUCUUCCCCCUGAUUUCCUGCGGUCCUGGAUCCAGCGGUUAUGUCACAGUGGGCUGCAUGGCCAAAGAUUUCACGCCUGACCUUUUGACCUUCAAAUGGAAUCGCAAAGGAGGAGCGGCAUUGGCGGACACAGACUUCCUUCAGUAUCCAUCAGUACAGAGCGGUGAAGUAUUCACCGCUGUCAGCCACGCCGUGGUGAAAGCAGCCGACUGGAACCAAAAGCAAGCCUACGAAUGUUCGGCAGAAUACGAUGGGAAAAGCACGACAGUAGAGAUAAAGAUGCCUGAAGCUGAACCGCCAAUUAUUCCCAAAAUGUCACUGUUCCUCGAGAUGAGGAGUGACCCAGCAGAAGCCAAAAAGGUCACUUUGGUCUGCUCACUGACCGGCUUUUACCCAAAAGAAAUCACAGUAGAAUGGGAAGAGGACAAAAUACCUAUUCAAGGCUCUAAAAAUGCGAGGAUUAUGGUGAACGAUGAUAAAACGUUCAGCCAAACCAACCAGCUGGACGUUGACAAUGAAAAAUGGCUUUCUGGCUCAGAGUAUACUUGCAAAGUUACCCAUAAAUCAAACUCAAAAAAACUCUCCACCAGCAUUUGCUCAACUCAUCCCACUUCUCCACCAUCUCUGCAAUUGGAGAGUGCUGAAAGAAAUGAUGGUUUCACAGUCACCUGUAAAGUGUUUACCGCCUACAAAAGCAAAGUUCGUUGGAUCAGUGAUGGAAGUACGACAGAAGAUUCAAAAGAAUAUGAAGAACUGAAGGACUCCGAAAACAGACUUCAGGGAUUUCAACACCACUUACCUUUGACCAAGGACAAAUGGAAAUCCGUGAAGUCACUCACAUGUGAAGUCCAACACAAAUGUUUCGGCACUGUAAGGGGGACCAUAAACAUAACAGGUGAAACAUCUGUCGAGCUUUACCUGCAGCAAGGCCCACAGAGACCAGGAAGGAAGGUCCAAAAAGGUCUCUGUCUGGUCUCUGGAUUUAACCCUCAAGUCAGAUGGCAGUUGGAAUCAGUGGAAAAGCCAGCAGCAGCCAGCAGGACUGUGACAGCAAAGAAUGGACACACCGUAGUGGCAAGUGAGAUAGAGGUGCUACAGCAAGAGUGGAUCAAAGGUGUCCUCCUCACCUGUGUGGUUGAGGACCAGGCUCUGGUCAAACCAAUCUCCAAGAACGUCAGCAUAUGCACACUGACUCCGCCCUCCUCUCAGACAGCAGAGCUGUUCCUGACUGGGCCCCCGCUCCGGGACACGCGGAAACAGAAGGGCCUUCCUUUCGUCUGUCUGCUGGUCGGCUUUGACACAAGCUACUUCACCAUCACCUGGAAGGUGAACGGGAUGCGCCCUCUGGAGGGAGACAAGAGGGAGCCGCCGAGCAGGAAUGACAACGGAACGGAGACCGUGCGCAGCACGCUUGACGCCAAGAGGAGCGACUGGCGCGCAGGCUCUCGAAUCACCUGCGAGGCCAGGCACUUGUGCUCUGACAAGCCCUUAGAGAGGCAUCUGGUGAAAGCUAAAGAUACCAGGCCACCCACAGUCAAGGUCCUGGCCCCGUCUGACUCCGAGCUGGCGGAGUCCAGCAAUGCCAGCCUCCUGUGCGUGGCGUCCGAUCUCUCGCCCUCCCAAGCGGAUGUACACUGGGAGCUGAAUGGGGAGCGGCUCCCGGCGUCCCGUUACUCCAGCAGCCCGCCGCUCCAGGUCGUCGGGAGCAACAGCUACGUCAUGCACAGCUGGCUGCUGGUGCCGGGGUCCGAGCGGCCAAAGGGCGGGUACUCCUGUGUGGUCACGCACGACUCAUCAGAGACGCCAGUGAACCACACCAUAUCUGAUGUGUUCGCCUCGGUGACCCGCACCCCGCCCCACGCCAGGUUGCUGUAUGUCGCCGGGGGACUGAUCUGCCUGGUCCACGGGUUCAGUCCAGCCGCCAUCAAUGUCACCUGGGUCCUGAACAGCGGGGAGGAGCUGCUGGAGUACAACACCAGCGAUGUGUCCAGAGGGGCUGAUGGGAAGUUCACCAUCUGGAGCUACCUGCGGGUUUCCUGGCAACCUGGGGCCAUGUACACCUGUAAGGUGGCCCACGUCACGAAGAAUCUGUCAAUCAGUAAGAGCGAGCCAGACGUCGGCGCAGAGAACGAGUACUUCAACGAAAACACACAGGAGCCACCGUCAGCUGACAGCCCUGAGGAACUGUGGAACACUGUCUAUGCCUUCCUCGGCAUGUUCAUCAUCGCUCUAUUCUACAGCAUCACUGUGACAUUAGCACUGAUGAAAUAACAAGAAGAUCACAUAUCCUGUGGUAGUGAUAUUUUUAAUGGGGAAAUACUUCAUGUUUUUCAAACCAACUGGUACUAAGAAAUUAUUCAGUUGUACCUUUGUUGUUGUUUUUUAAUGCUUGCUUUUUAAUUAGUAGCUCUUCUCCAAUUUGUCUAGCUCUGCUUUUUAGUUCAAUUGCAACCUUAAUUUGUCCUUUGUCUUAUUUAAAAAUAAACUAAUCAGGAUUACUUAUGAGGAAUCUGGCUACAGACAUUAAAUGAUGAUAUGGUA